AUGCCUCCAAUGGCGGGAGAAGGUAACCCUGGUGAGGGAGGAGGAGGUGAGGCGGGAGGAGGAGGAGGUCCGACGGGCCGUGCACCACCGACGCCACCACCGGCCGCUCCAACCUCGACCCAUGGACGAUCUGGGAAGGAGGGCCACGGCAUGGAAGCUGAUUGCCCUGUGCCCUGGUACACAAGGACGCUGGUGGCGCUUGGGAUCAAGUCCCAUGGCGACCCUUCUGGUCCAUUGAGGCAUGCUUUCACAUUGAGCCAACAUUCUUCUGGUGCAUUGAAGCAGGGAACUGUUGAUCCGUUGUUGGGGGUUGUUGUCACCUCUGAGGGGUACCUCUCAAGGUCUGAAUUUGAAAGGAUAAACAACUACCUUGAAUGUGUUCUUAAUGAAGUGAAAUCUGCAUUAGGUUCUUCUGCUGAGGAUGUCGAGGAUGAAUACGGGUGCCAAGAUACUGUCCCACCAGUUACUCAGGAGUCUUCCAGUGGCCCAGGCUUGAAGACCAUAUCGGCAAUUGUUCUAGGUGCUGCGUCUAGGAAUGCAUGUGAAAGUCCUCAAAUCAGUCAGGGUACCAGUGUGAGGGGGGAGAUAAUGCCAAACAAUGCGGAGCACGUGCAGGUUAUUCAACAAUCCACCCAGGAAAUCAAGGCUUUCAUUCAUGAUGCUGUUAGAAGAAAUCUGAUUGCCCCAGACUGUGCACGGGACCUGGUUUUCAAAAUAGAUGAGCUGGGCAAGUGUACUUCAAGGGCCGUCUCUCGAAAUGGAACCCGCAUUUUUACAUUGAAUGGAUUGAAGAAGAGACUGAAACUACCAGACUUUAGUUCUCUAUCAGACAAGAUUAUAGCUUUUGGUGGUUCAUUCCAUUCUGUUAUAACCAUUACUGGAGCUGCGUACCGUGUAUCUAAAUCUGAUGGCCCAGGAUAUUUUCAUGAUGUCGGGAAAGAGGCAUUAGAACUGAUCAGGGAUCCUUUUUACCUACAAAACCAUGUUUGGAAUUCUGGUCGUAAAUCUUCUCUGAUAUGUGGCAGUGAAUUUACAACUAGCCAAAAAUUGGUGAAGAAAUUGAUGUUGAGUUUCAAGAAUGAUGGCUCCUUCAUGUGUUUCAAAGCUUCUGUUAUCGAUCCCCUUGAAGAUGUUCCUGUAAAUGACCCAGAACAUGAUGUGGCUGUCAAUGACAUUCCUGAUAUGGAAGAUCCUAAUUCUGCACAGUUAUUGGUGGAGAAGAUUGUUGGUCCUGAUGUGAAUACAAUGUUAUAUCUGCCCUACUCUCUUAAAAAAGCAAAAGUUGAAUUCCAGCUACAUCAACCUUAUGAUGGGUCUGUUCUUAGCAUUGGUUUGAACAACGAAAGGAUGCCUUGCAUAUCUGUUUCGAGCUUAUGUGGCCUGCAGGAUAUCUGUUUGGGAGGUGUUGACAGCCUUGCUUUUGGGGGCCAAUUGAAAAUAAACGAGUCCAAGUCAUGGUUCAGUGUUUCUGCUGGGUUGUCAGUCCGUGCUGAAUUGUUCAGUGCUGGCCUAACUUUUAAACAACCUGUUCAGUUUGAUUAUACUUUCUGCAGCAAUAUUCUCAAUACAAGCACUGUAUUAGGUGGCCUGGCUAGCUAUAGCUAUCUGACCAAUCAAUGGAAAUUGAUUGGCGGAAUUGGUCACACUUUUGACCCCACAUUCAAUAUCAAAGGGCGUAUUGGUAAUGAUAAAACUGUCAAUGCUCUUAUCUCUAAGAAGUUCGCUGGCAAGGGCAGUCUUCAUUUUGCAUCGGAGGUUGAUUUAAAGGAUUUUUGGAGAUAUCCUCGGGUUGGAGGAAGCUUCAUGCUGAAGCAGUUGGGGGUAGCGUUUCUGAAUUGCUGA
Molecule: ribosomal RNA, 1842 nt
Filed under: Triticum aestivum (bread wheat)
Lineage: Eukaryota; Viridiplantae; Streptophyta; Magnoliopsida; Poales; Poaceae
Description: partial small subunit ribosomal RNA
Source: RNAcentral